Molecule: ribosomal RNA, 254 nt
Filed under: uncultured Acidobacteriota bacterium
Lineage: Bacteria; Pseudomonadati; Acidobacteriota
Description: uncultured Acidobacteria bacterium partial 16S ribosomal RNA
Rfam family: Bacterial small subunit ribosomal RNA
Source: RNAcentral
UACGGGGGGAGCAAGCGUUGUUCGGAUUUACUGGGCGUAAAGGGCGCGUAGGCGGCCUGUGCAAGUCAGUUGUGAAAUCUCCGGGCUUAACUCGGAACGGUCAACUGAUACUGCUCGGCUAGAGUGCGGAAGGGGCAACUGGAAUUCUUGGUGUAGCGGUGAAAUGCGUAGAUAUCAAGAGGAACACCUGCGGCGAAGGCGGGUUGCUGGGCCGACACUGACGCUGAUGUGCGAAAGCUAGGGGAGCGAACGGG